GUGCUUGCUUUGGCAGCACAUAUACUAAAAUUGUAAUGAUACAAAAAGAUUUAGCAUUGCCCCUGCACAAAGAUGACAUGCAAAUUCAAGACAUGUUCCGUUAACAA
Small nuclear RNA from Prolemur simus (greater bamboo lemur), 107 nucleotides. The record is from Ensembl. Lineage: Eukaryota; Metazoa; Chordata; Mammalia; Primates; Lemuridae.